UAAAAUGGGUUAUCAAUCUUAUAAAGUUGUGUUCUUUUUCCCGGAACUAAGAAGAUUUAUAUCAUCUUUUCUUGUGGACAGGUUCCGAGUUGUUGCAACUUUCCACAGCUAUGUUUCCAGAUCAAUGCAGCGGAGUUCGGAAGGUUUGGUCCCCUCGUCGAAGAACCAGAGCUCUCAGCCGGUGCACCACCGUCGUCCCCGGAAUAACGUCGCGCAAGUUAUAAUGGUAAUCCAACAUACCAUCAACUUUUGAUGUCGACAAUUGUAGAUAUCAUUACCAAUAUUUAUUAACUAAACCAAAAUUUGAAGAAUAUAUUUCUCGAUACAUUUAUUUAUUUUUAUCCUAUAGAGAAAGGAAGAGUGAUUUAUUUUACACAGCCCACAAUCAUGUAUUCUUAGGAGAUUUGUGACCAUCUGGAUUGCAGCAGACAUGAUAUUCUGUGACCAUAAAUGCUGUUCGUAAAGCGAAUUAGACAUGAGAUUCUGUGACUAUCACUUGGAUUUUGAAUGACCCUUUGCUUGUGCUUCCUUUAAUGAACCUUUUUGCUUGCACUCUCUUCCAUGAACUGUCCCUUUCAGGUCUCUCUUAUCAGACAUCAAUCAACCAUGCGCUGUGUAGCACAGUGAUAUUUGACGGCCAUGAGCGAUGGUAAGAAAGCAGAUCAAAUAUAUCAUAGAGAAGAGACUAUUGCUCCUCCUUAUUGGAGACAUAAGCACUCACAGAUUACACUCUCAGCCUUGCAUCGGACAAUGCUUAUUGCAUCACACCAAAGCAAACCAAAGCAGGUAGAUCGAGACCAGUUUAGUUCCAGCAGACGCAUCUGGUAACGCCGGGAGUCGCUCUUAUUUUGGCGCAGCUACGAUAACAUCAUGCGAGUUGCCGUGCGCCCUCACGAGCUUCAGCAAGUCCGAGGUCACGCCCAGAGAUGCUUCGAGGACGUCGGCGUUUGUGAGGCUCAGCGGCGACGUCUUCCCCACCACCGGGUGGAAGAUGGGCCUGCAGAGAACGCAUGAGGAGCUUCGCAUCAGAGCGUCAAGGACCUGAAGCUUUAAGUCGCUUCUCGUUACCUCUCACUGGUGAUGAUGGAGAACCACUCCAACCCCUCGCUGCCCGCGACCGCCGCCAUCACGUAGAACUUCUGCACCACGAACACGCAUCCUGCUGCCACCUCCUUGUCCAUGAUGGUGGCGCCGUUGACUCCGCUGAUCUGAACUUGUCCGCUGCCUCUGGUGAUGUACACGAGCUGGAUGUCGGGGAAGAACCCCGGGACGCGCAUGGCGUUGGGCUCGAGCUUGGUGAUGUUGAUGGAGAACCUGAACCGCCCUUCCAGGGCGGCGAGGUUGUCCUUGGUCAUCGACACGACGUGGCCGCCACAGGGGACGUGGUUGCUGAACCGGGCGCUGUCCUCGUGCAGGACGAUCCCGUGGCGGUCGCGGUCGUGAGUCUUGACGCACAGCUUCUUCUCCGGUUUGAUGAUCUGGAUGCCGGCCUGGCUCGAGAAGAGCUUGGCCGCCGCUUCUUGGCUCACUCCGCUGGCCUUGGCGAGGAAGUCCGUGGAGAGGCCAUUGUAGACCGCCGCUUGGCCUGCAACUAAGAAGUAGGUGAUCAAGCCCUGGGUGAGACCGGCGGCGCCGUCGCCCAGGUAUAUGAUGGAGAAGUCGGUGUCCCCGUCGUUGUACCACCAUGUGUAGGUUUCUUUGGGCACGGUGAUCACAUCUCCUUUCUUGAUCAGCACCGCCCUUUCUUUGGUCUCCCCCGGCAGUAUCACCCCAACCACAGCUCU
This 1784-nucleotide long non-coding RNA is filed under the name Musa acuminata (dwarf banana). RNAcentral's name for it is "long non-coding RNA (MACU_LNC001575)". Lineage: Eukaryota; Viridiplantae; Streptophyta; Magnoliopsida; Zingiberales; Musaceae. The record is from RNAcentral.